GAUGAACGCUGGCGGCGUGCCUAAUACAUGCAAGUCGAGCGAACAGACGAGGAGCUUGCUCCUCUGACGUUAGCGGCGGACGGGUGAGUAACACGUGGAUAACCUACCUAUAAGACUGGGAUAACUUCGGGAAACCGGAGCUAAUACCGGAUAAUAUAUUGAACCGCAUGGUUCAAUAGUGAAAGACGGUUUUGCUGUCACUUAUAGAUGGAUCCGCGCCGCAUUAGCUAGUUGGUAAGGUAACGGCUUACCAAGGCGACGAUGCGUAUCCGACCUGAGAGGGUGGUAGGCCACACUGGAACUUGGACACGGUCCUGACUCCUACGGGAGGCAGCAGUAGGGAAUCGUCCGCAAUGGGCGAAAGCCUUACGGAGCAACGCCGCGUGAGUGAUGAAGGUCUUCGGAUCGUAAAACUCUGUUAUGAGGUAAGAACAAAUGUGUAAGGAACUAUGCACGUCUUGACGGUACCUAAUCAGAAAGCCACGGCUAACUACGUG
Molecule: ribosomal RNA, 497 nt
Filed under: uncultured bacterium
Lineage: Bacteria
Description: partial 16S ribosomal RNA
Rfam family: Bacterial small subunit ribosomal RNA
Source: RNAcentral